GACGAACCGAGCGAACGUUAUUCGGAAUCACUGGGCUUAAAGGGCGCGUAGGCGGGCCGUCAAGUCCGGGGUGAAAGCCUCCAGCUUAACUGGAGAAGUGCCUCGGAUACUGGCGGUCUCGAGGGAGAUAGGGGCGUGCGGAACUUCCGGUGGAGCGGUGAAAUGCGUAGAUAUCGGAAGGAACACCGGUGGCGAAAGCGGCGCGCUGGAUCUCUUCUGACGCUGAGGCGCGAAAGCCAGGGGAGCGAACGGG
RNAcentral lists this ribosomal RNA (253 nucleotides) under uncultured bacterium. RNAcentral's name for it is "partial 16S ribosomal RNA". It matches the Rfam family "Bacterial small subunit ribosomal RNA", at positions 524 to 776 of the family's 1533-position model. The record is from RNAcentral.